This 89-nucleotide transfer RNA is filed under the name Tetraselmis sp. CCMP 881. RNAcentral describes it as "tRNA-Ser". It matches the Rfam family "tRNA". Rfam says of the family: Transfer RNA (tRNA) molecules are approximately 80 nucleotides in length. Lineage: Eukaryota; Viridiplantae; Chlorophyta; Chlorodendrophyceae; Chlorodendrales; Chlorodendraceae. The record is from RNAcentral.
GGAGAAAUGGCAGAGUGGUCUAUCGCACUGAUUUGCUAAAUCAGCAUACUUGUAAAAAUGUAUCAAGGGUUCGAAUCCCUUUUUCUCCG